AUUGAACGCUGGCGGCAGGCCUAACACAUGCAAGUCGAGCGGAUGAAGGGAGCUUGCUCCUGGAUUCAGCGGCGGACGGGUGAGUAAUGCCUAGGAAUCUGCCUGGUAGUGGGGGAUAACGUCCGGAAACGGGCGCUAAUACCGCAUACGUCCUGAGGGAGAAAGUGGGGGAUCUUCGGACCUCACGCUAUCAGAUGAGCCUAGGUCGGAUUAGCUAGUUGGUGGGGUAAAGGCCUACCAAGGCGACGAUCCGUAACUGGUCUGAGAGGAUGAUCAGUCACACUGGAACUGAGACACGGUCCAGACGCCUACGGGAGGCAGCAGUGGGGAAUAUUGGACAAAGGGCGAAAGCCUGAUCCAGCCAUGCCGCGUGUGUGAAGAAGGUCUUCGGAUUGUAAAGCACUUUAAGUUGGGAGGAAGGGCAGUAAGUUAAUACCUUGCUGUUUUGACGGUACCAACAGAAUAAGCACCGGCUAACUUCGUG
RNAcentral lists this ribosomal RNA (484 nucleotides) under uncultured bacterium. Its description in RNAcentral is "partial 16S ribosomal RNA". It matches the Rfam family "Bacterial small subunit ribosomal RNA", at positions 30 to 507 of the family's 1533-position model. The record is from RNAcentral.